AGCUCCGGGAAACUGGAAUUAAUACCGCAUACGUCCUUAGGGAGAAAGAUUUAUCGGGGAUUGAUGAGCCCGAGUUGGAUUAGCUAGUUGGUGGGGUAAAGGCCUACCAAGGCGACUAUCCAUAGCUGGUCUGGGAGGAUGAUCAGCCACAUUGGGACUGAUACACGGCCCAAACUCCUACGGGAGGAACUAGUGGGGAAUAUAGGAUACUGGGCGCAAGCCUGGUGCAGACAUGCCGCGUGAGUGAUGAAGGCGUAAGGAUUGAAAAGCUCUUUCACCGGAAAAAAUAAUGACGGAAUCCGGAUAACAUGCCCCGGCUAAUUUCGUGCCAGCAGCCGCGGUAAUACGAAGGGGGCUAGCGUUGUUCGGAAUUACUGGGCGUAAAGCGCACGUAGGCGGAUAUUUAAGUCAGGGGUGAAAUCCCCGGGCUCAACCUCGGAACUGCCUUUGAUACUGGGUAUCUAGAGUAUGGAAGAGGUAAGUGGAAUUCCGAGUGUAGCGGUGAAAUUCGUAGAUAUUUGCAGGAACACCAGUGGCGAAGGCGGCUCCCUGGUCCAU
Molecule: ribosomal RNA, 558 nt
Filed under: Agrobacterium sp.
Lineage: Bacteria; Pseudomonadati; Pseudomonadota; Alphaproteobacteria; Hyphomicrobiales; Rhizobiaceae
Description: bacterial SSU rRNA
Rfam family: Bacterial small subunit ribosomal RNA
Source: RNAcentral